RNAcentral lists this ribosomal RNA (522 nucleotides) under uncultured bacterium. RNAcentral's name for it is "bacterial SSU rRNA". It matches the Rfam family "Bacterial small subunit ribosomal RNA", at positions 50 to 561 of the family's 1533-position model. The record is from RNAcentral.
AACACAUGCAAGUCGAACGGCAGCACAGAGGAGCUUGCUCCUUGGGUGGCGAGUGGCGGACGGGUGAGGAAUACGUCGGAAUCUGCCUAUUUGUGGGGGAUAACGUAGGGAAACUUACGCUAAUACCGCAUACGACCUACGGGUGAAAGUGGGGGACCGCAAGGCCUCACGCAGAUAGAUGAGCCGACGUCGGAUUAGCUAGUUGGCGGGGUAAAGGCCCACCAAGGCGACGAUCCGUAGCUGGUCUGAGAGGAUGAUCAGCCACACUGGAACUGAGACACGGUCCAGACUCCUACGGGAGGCAGCAGUGGGGAAUAUUGGACAAUGGGCGCAAGCCUGAUCCAGCCAUGCCGCGUGUGUGAAGAAGGCCUUCGGGUUGUAAAGCACUUUUGUCCGGAAAGAAAAGCUUANGGUUAAUAACCCUGAGUCAUGACGGUACCGGAAGAAUAAGCACAGGCUAACUUCGUGCCAGCAGCCGCGGUAAUACGAAGGGUGCAAGCGUUACUCGGAAUUACUGGGCGU